Molecule: ribosomal RNA, 253 nt
Filed under: uncultured bacterium
Lineage: Bacteria
Description: partial 16S ribosomal RNA
Rfam family: Bacterial small subunit ribosomal RNA
Source: RNAcentral
UACGGAGGGUGCAAGCGUUAAUCGGAAUUACUGGGCGUAAAGCGCGCGUAGGCGGUUAUCUAAGCUGGAUGUGAAAGCCCCGGGCUCAACCUGGGAACUGCAUUCAGAACUGGAUGGCUGGAAUACAGAAGAGGGGUGUGGAAUUUCCGGUGUAGCGGUGAAAUGCGUAGAGAUCGGAAGGAACAUCAGUGGCGAAGGCGACACCCUGGUCUGAUAUUGACGCUGAGGUGCGAAAGCGUGGGUAGCAAACAGG